CUCAACUACACUCCACAAAUCUUGAGCUUGAAGAUAUGUCUUCAUCUUGACUACCCAAAUAUGGUAGUUUUCACCAGAAAAUACUGGAGGUGGAGGUGCUGUAAAGCUCAUCUUGCUGAAACAAACUUAAUAGCCCCAAUUUCUUCCUUCUCAAGCUUAUAUUUUCUCAACAAAGCAACCAACAAAAUAGAGGCCCUCAAAGACUUAGGCUCUGAAUACCAUUUGUUGGAACAUUUG
RNAcentral lists this long non-coding RNA (237 nucleotides) under Gossypium barbadense (sea-island cotton). RNAcentral's name for it is "long non-coding RNA (GBAR_LNC001876)". The record is from RNAcentral. Lineage: Eukaryota; Viridiplantae; Streptophyta; Magnoliopsida; Malvales; Malvaceae.